UCUCAACUUUUCCUAGAAUGGUAGUGGCAGUGAUAAUUCAGUUGUUAAUCUGAAGAAGUGGAAGCAAAGGAAUCUGCUGAUCUGUAAAGGACAAAUCUGCUCAGCAGUCAUGCAAUAAGGGUCAGCAAAUAACAAGGCGUGAUGGAAUAAAGAAAUCUCCUUGGAGCAUUGUCCUUAGAGAAAGCCCCGCAGACAACUGGAGAAAUGAUUAUUUUUCUGGGAGAUUUCUGGAAAUGCUGCCCUAUAAGAAUGUGCCUACCACGAAGAAAUAUGCAUCAUUUCCCCUUGUCAACCAUUAAUUUUCCUAAUAUAAAAUCAAGCAGCUGUUUCCUUGUUUUUGUGGUUUUACGUCUUUUAUUUCAUUUAUUUCUCGGUAAUUAACUUCCAUGCAACUGUAACCCUCAUUUUGUGUAUGAAUUUUGUGAAAAAUAAAUCAGGUCCAGAGUUUCUUGAUUCCAGAA
Molecule: long non-coding RNA, 461 nt
Organism: Sciurus carolinensis (gray squirrel)
Lineage: Eukaryota; Metazoa; Chordata; Mammalia; Rodentia; Sciuridae
Exons: 2
Source: RefSeq, a predicted model, not a curated record